This 761-nucleotide ribosomal RNA is filed under the name uncultured bacterium. RNAcentral's name for it is "bacterial SSU rRNA". It matches the Rfam family "Bacterial small subunit ribosomal RNA", at positions 29 to 836 of the family's 1533-position model. The record is from RNAcentral.
ACGAACGCUGGCGGCAGGCCUAACACAUGCAAGUCGAACGCACUCUUCGGAGUGAGUGGCAGACGGGUGAGUAACGCGUGGGAACCUUCCCAGUGGUACGGAAUAGCCCAGGGAAACUUGGGGUAAUACCGUAUAAGCCCUACGGGGGAAAGAUUUAUCGCCACUGGAUGAGCCCGCGUCGGAUUAGCUUGUUGGUGGGGUAAUGGCCUACCAAGGCAACGAUCCGUAGCUGGUCUGAGAGGAUGAUCAGCCACACUGGGACUGAGACACGGCCCAGACUCCUACGGGAGGCAGCAGUGGGGAAUAUUGGACAAUGGGCGAAAGCCUGAUCCAGCCAUGCCGCGUGAGUGACGAAGGCCUUAGGGUUGUAAAGCUCUUUUGGCGGGGACGAUAAUGACGGUACCCGCAGAAUAAGCUCCGGCUAACUUCGUGCCAGCAGCCGCGGUAAUACGAAGGGAGCUAGCGUUGUUCGGAAUCACUGGGCGUAAAGCGCACGUAGGCGGAUUUGUUAGUCAGGGGUGAAAUCCCGGGGCUCAACCUCGGAACUGCCUUUGAUACUGCAAAUCUAGAGUCCGAGAGAGGUGGGUGGAAUUCCUAGUGUAGAGGUGAAAUUCGUAGAUAUUAGGAAGAACACCGGUGGCGAAGGCGGCCCACUGGCUCGGUACUGACGCUGAGGUGCGAAAGCGUGGGGAGCAAGCAGGAUUAGAUACCCUGGUAGUCCACGCCCUCAACGAUUCAACUAGUCGUUGGAGGAAUUUAAU